RNAcentral lists this ribosomal RNA (301 nucleotides) under uncultured bacterium. RNAcentral's name for it is "partial 16S ribosomal RNA". It matches the Rfam family "Bacterial small subunit ribosomal RNA", at positions 509 to 807 of the family's 1533-position model. The record is from RNAcentral.
CAGUCGCCACGGGAAUACGAAGGGGGCUAGCGUUGUUCGGAAUAACUGGGCGUAAAGGGCGCGUAGGCGGAUCUUUAAGUCAGGGGUGAAAUCCCAAGGCUCAACCUUGGAACUGCCUUUGAUACUGGAGAUCUUGAGUCCGGGAGAGGUGAGUGGAACUGCGAGUGUAGAGGUGAAAUUCGUAGAUAUUCGCAAGAACACCAGUGGCGAAGGCGGCUCACUGGCCCGGUACUGACGCUGAGGCGCGAAAGCGUGGGGAGCAAACAGGAUUAGAUACCCCCGUAGUCCCUGUCUCUUAUAC